AGCAUUUCAGAGAUCGGGAGAAUCUUAUAAAUGAAGGCGUUGUUCUCCAGGGAAAUCUCUCAACAAUCUGAUUUCAUUUAUGUCUUUUUAAAAAGUUCUGUCUAAAUGAUAAAAAAAAAAAUCUCCAAGGAAAACAUUUGUUAGCACAGAAAAUAAAUUCUUAUGAUUAACAUUUUGCCAUCCAAAAAGGUUGGUGACUAAGAGAGUUUUCAGCACUUCAAAGCUUCUAUAUUGAGCCAACCAAGCCUCUGAAGGGGUGCUGGCCACCUUCCAGGAGCAUCCUAGUCCUGUCUUUGCUGAUUAUGAACCUUGGGCUCUGCUGCAAACACACUCCUCUGUGGACGGGAGACCAAAGGCAGAACAGAUGGAAGAUCCGACCACAAGUCUUUGAAAGGAGGGGACCUUGAGCAAGUCUUGGACUUGAGUUUCCUCACUGGUCAAAUGGACAUGCUAACACCCUACGGGACCACUAGGAGAUUGUGAUGGUAAAGAAUCCGAUAAAGGCUAUGAUGAGCCUUUGACAGUACGGGCCCAAGGUCCCCAAGAAUGCCUGAAUCCUGCCCAGACCUUAGUAACUUUUCCACACAAAGCCCCCAAGGGGCAGAUAUGCUCCAGUGGCAGCAGCAAAUAAAAUUAAAGUAACUCUUCCCCUGUGAGCCUGGAACAGUGACAGGGCCCCAAACCAAUCGGUCAGUCCAGCCUGCUUGGUAGUAGAAUGGCAGCUGGAAGAGAUCAAGGGAGAAGGCUGACCCAGGGGAGUGUGUGUGUGUGUGUUUAAUAGAGUGGGGGCGAGAUUGCUGGAAGGCAGAGUAGACCAGCAGCCUGAUUACUGCUUCUGCAGCUAAGAGGAAAGAAGAGCAGAGCACCAGAAAGACGCGGAUCGGCGAGUCUGAAUUGCAACUCACAGUGACCUCACCUGCUGGAAACAUGGUGUUCUGCAAUAAGACCAACAAAUAGCAGCUCCUUCAUGGGGUGGUGAGGUGGGGGCAGGGAGGUUGGCAGCCAAAGCGGAUGGUGAAUGCUUGGCCACCCACACAGAGGUCUCGAAAGCCUGACACCUACUGGGUACUCAGGACAGAACUCAUCAUAGAACAUUUUCCAAAUAAAAUGGACUAAAGAGAAUUCGCUCCUUUUGAGGGUGACCUUCAGGAUUGGCACGUAUGAGGCUGUGGUCCUCUGUGAAGGUGCCUCCCCCACGUCAGGAUUAUUCGGUGUCUUCGUCAGCUUGGGCUGCUAUAGCAAAAUAUCGGAGACUGGGGGGCUUAAACAACAAACAUUUCUUUCUCACAGUUCUGGAAGCUGGAGAGUUCAAGUCCAAGCUGCCAAGUGAUUUGGUUCCUGGUGAGGGAACUCUUCCUAGUUUGCAGACAGCUGUCUUCUCAUUGUAUCCUCAUACGAUGGAGAGAGAGAGAUAAUGUCUCUCAUUUCUCCUCUAAGGGCACCAAUUCCAUCGUGAGGGCUUCACCUUCAUGGCCUAAUUAUCUCCCAAGGGCCCCACCUCCAUCACAUCAGGGAUUAGGCUUCUACAUAUGAAUUAGGGUGGGGGAGGGGACACAAAAAUUCAGUCCAUAGCAUCCAUUCUGAUAUUUUUGGUUUUUUAUUUAUAAUUGGCAAUAAUGAAAAAUAAAGUUACACUAUCUCAGAACUUGCAUUUUCUUAAGAAUGUUCAAAAAAGAGAAAGGCAUGGGGGUUUUGGCUGAUAUUUGUGUGGAAAGACAAGUACUUAUUGUUUCUACCAUCUAAGUCAUAGACAACUAAAUGGCUUACCAGUUUUGUGUUGCAAAUAAAAUCAACACUUCUCUCUAGAAGUUAUCAGCUUGUCUCGAAAAACACUUGGAUUAAUCCAGUAUCUACUUGUCUCUAUGUUACGAUAAUCAUGACAACUGGGUAAAAUAUUUAUCAAUAGAA
Long non-coding RNA from Hipposideros armiger (great roundleaf bat), 1908 nucleotides. RefSeq lists it as uncharacterized. The transcript is spliced from 3 exons. The record is from RefSeq and is a predicted model, not a curated record. Lineage: Eukaryota; Metazoa; Chordata; Mammalia; Chiroptera; Hipposideridae.